Molecule: ribosomal RNA, 497 nt
Filed under: uncultured bacterium
Lineage: Bacteria
Description: partial 16S ribosomal RNA
Rfam family: Bacterial small subunit ribosomal RNA
Source: RNAcentral
GAUGAACGCUGGCGGCGUGCCUAAUACAUGCAAGUCGAGCGAACGGACGAGAAGCUUGCUUCUCUGAUGUUAGCGGCGGACGGGUGAGUAACACGUGGAUAACCUACCUAUAAGACUGGGAUAACUUCGGGAAACCGGAACUAAUACCGGAUAAUAUUUUGAACCGCAUGGUUCAAAAGUGAAAGACGGUCUUGCUGUCACUUAUAGAUGGUUCCGCGCUGCAUUAGCUAGUUGGUAAGGUAACGGCUUACCAAGGCAACGAUGCAUAGCCGACCUGAGAGGGUGAUCGGCCACACUGGAACUGAGACACGGUCCAGACUCCUACGGGAGGCAGCAGUAGGGAAUCUUCCGCAAUGGGCGAAAGCCUGACGCAGCAACGCCGCGUGAGUGAUGAAGGUCUUCGGAUCGUAAAACUCUGUUAUUAGGGAAGAACAUAUGUGUAAGUAACUGUGCACAUCUUGACGGUACCUAAUCAGAAAGCCACGGCUAACUACGUG